Molecule: long non-coding RNA, 462 nt
Filed under: Heterocephalus glaber (naked mole-rat)
Lineage: Eukaryota; Metazoa; Chordata; Mammalia; Rodentia; Bathyergidae
Description: lncRNA (ENSHGLG00000037253.1)
Source: RNAcentral
GGUGGGUGCGAUCGGAGGGUGCAGAGCCGCGCUGACACGCUCGUGUGUGCGCGUGCUGUGCAUCCAUGCACACGCAGCAGAGAUCACCUCGGACGUCGAGGUCAGCUGGAUACCACGGACACAGGCAGGGGAGAGCUGAGCAAGCUGAAAGGUUGGGGGCAGGCGACCCAGCGUCCACGAGGCCAACGCAGAAGAGCCCAGCAGCGGGACCUGGGACAGGACCCGAGGUUCAGGGCUCUUUGGCCAGCCCGACUCGGCCUCCUGUCAGGAGGGUGUGGAGAGCUAUGCCCCAGGGUGCAGGACAGAUCGAAGGAGAGCCUGCCACGGUCCUCAGGGCCCUUGCACAAACGUCCCCUCUUCUGAGGACCCGCCCCUUCCUGGAGCUCCACCUCAGAUGUGAGCACCGGUCCGGAUGGCAUCGAGGGCUUUCCUGAAGCUUGGCUGAGGCCUUUGAGACUGCAG